Molecule: ribosomal RNA, 713 nt
Filed under: uncultured bacterium
Lineage: Bacteria
Description: bacterial SSU rRNA
Rfam family: Bacterial small subunit ribosomal RNA
Source: RNAcentral
UAGAUACUCCAGUAGUCCACGCCGUAAACGAUGUCAACUAGUCAUUCCGAGUGUCGACCCUCGAAGUGGCGAAGCUAACGCGUUAAGUUGACCGCCUGGGAAGUACAACCGCAAGGUUAAAACUUAAAGGAAUAGACGGGAGCUUGCACAAGCGGUGGAGCGUCUGGUUUAAUUCGACAAUACGCGAGAAACCUUACCGAGACUUGAAACUCUGUUGACAACCCAAUGAAAGUUAGGCUUUUCGCAAGAACAACAGAGUCAGGUACUGCAUGGUUGUCGUCAGCUCGUGCCUUGAGGUGUUCCGUUAAGUCGGGUAACGAGCGCAACCCCUGUUGUCUGUUAUAAGUUUCAGGCAAGACUGCCCUCGUUAAAGGGGAGGAAGGAGGGGAUGACGUCAAAUCAGCAUGGUCCUUUGAUGUCUCGGGCUACACAGGCGCUACAAUGGUUGGUACAAUGAGUUGUGCGAAACGGCAACGUGAAGCUAAUCUCAUCAAAACCAAUCUCAGUCCGGAUUGGGGUCUGCAAUUCGACCCCAUGAAGCUGGAAUCGCUAGUAAUCGCGGAUCAUCUCGCCGCGGUGAAUACGUUCUCAAGCUUUGUACUCACCGCCCGUCACGUUAGGGAAGUCGGUAGUGCUGGAAGUCCCUGGUUUACCAGGGCCUAAGGCAAGAUCGGUGACCAGAACGAAGUCGUAACAAGGUAACCAAGGGCGAA